Molecule: microRNA precursor, 117 nt
Filed under: Choloepus hoffmanni (Hoffmann's two-fingered sloth)
Lineage: Eukaryota; Metazoa; Chordata; Mammalia; Pilosa; Megalonychidae
Description: miRNA (ENSCHOG00000014816.1)
Source: RNAcentral
CAGUAGCAUUAACACAUUUAGCCCUCUCUCCCCCAUUUGUGGACUGAAAGACUUUGUUCCCUGAUAAAAGGAUUCCAAACAGGUGAUGAAUGAGAAGAGAAUUGGGGAGAGUGGAUU